UACGGGGGGGGCAAGCGUUGUUCGGAAUUACUGGGCGUAAAGGCUCGUAGGCGGCCAACUAAGUCAUACGUGAAAUCCCUCGGCUUAACCGGGGAACUGCGUCUGAUACUGGAUGGCUUGAGUUCGGGAGAGGGAUGCGGAAUUCCAGGUGUAGCGGUGAAAUGCGUAGAUAUCAGGAGGAACACCAGCGGCGAAGGCGGCGCUCUGGGCCGGUACUGACACUGAGGAGCGAAAGCGUGGGUAGCAAACAGG
This 252-nucleotide ribosomal RNA is filed under the name uncultured bacterium. Its description in RNAcentral is "partial 16S ribosomal RNA". It matches the Rfam family "Bacterial small subunit ribosomal RNA", at positions 524 to 776 of the family's 1533-position model. The record is from RNAcentral.